AGAGUUUGAUCCUGGCUCAGAUUGAACGCUGGCGGCAUGCCUAACACAUGCAAGUCGAACGAGGGUGAGGGGGCAACUCCUUACCUUAGUGGCGGACGGGUGAGGAAUGCGUAGGAAUCUACCUUAAAGUGGGGGAUAACUCGGGGAAACUCGAGCUAAUACCGCAUAUGCUCUACGGAGUAAAGGGGGCGAAAGCUCUC
RNAcentral lists this ribosomal RNA (200 nucleotides) under uncultured bacterium. Its description in RNAcentral is "partial 16S ribosomal RNA". It matches the Rfam family "Bacterial small subunit ribosomal RNA", at positions 8 to 218 of the family's 1533-position model. The record is from RNAcentral.